CCUACGGGAGGCAGCAGUGAGGAAUAUUGGUCAAUGGGCGGAAGCCUGAACCAGCCAAGUCGCGUGAGGGAAUAAGGCCCUACGGGUCGUAAACCUCUUUUGCCGGGGAGCAAGUGCGGGGACGUGUCCCGGCCCGGAGAGUACCCGGAGAAAAAGCAUCGGCUAACUUCGUGCCAGCAGCCGCGGUAAUACGGAGGAGGCGAGCGUUAUCCGGAUUGAUUGGGUUAAAGGGGUGCGUAGGCGGGCUGUUAAGUCAGCGGUAAAAAUUCGGGUCUAAACCCCGACCGGCCGUUGAAACUGGCGAGCUCGAGUUGGAGAGAGGUAUGCGGAAUUCGUGGUGUAGCGGUGAAAUGCGUAGAUAUCAGGAGGAACCCCGAUGGCGAAGGCAGCAUACCGGCUCCACACUGACGCUGAGGCACGAAAGCGUGGGUAUCGAACAGGAUUAGAUACCCCUGUAGUC
Molecule: ribosomal RNA, 460 nt
Filed under: uncultured bacterium
Lineage: Bacteria
Description: partial 16S ribosomal RNA
Rfam family: Bacterial small subunit ribosomal RNA
Source: RNAcentral